UUAAAAUGAAAACUCAAAAUAUAAAUGAAUCUAAUUUAAAAUAUAAUAAUAAAUCCUAUAAUAGAAUAUAACAUAAUACUAAAAAACACUGGAGCGAAACAUCUAUAUAAUCUUGCACCACAAACAUAUAGGCUUUACUGAACGUAUACAUCCAGCAUAUAUCACGCAUUCCUCCUCGUUCGCACUGUCAAUACGUCCCUCUCAGGCCGUUCGUUCCUCUCCACCCUAAAAUUGUUUCAGGCUGCGGAAGACAUUCCAGACCCAAGCAUCUGCUUUCCCCCCUGUUCAUUUCAUCACCCACAGUGUGCCGAGGCCUGAUGGAGCAAACAUGAACACAGUGAACCCUCACUGCACAGCAGAGUCACAUCGAUGUAAACCUCCUGCUUCUCACUUCUCUGUACUGAAUGCACUAGAAACAAACAUGCAGUCGAGUUUAGAGAGGAUUUUGUGUGGGCAACAUAAACAGAAUCUAAACAGAGCGCUGUGUGCUUGUGUGGAUGUGAGAGACAGAGAGUAGCGAGGGAGGGAAAUGGAGUGAGAGAGAACAGCCUGUUCUGGAGAGAAAAGGAGUGUUUCAGUGUGAAACGCCCCGGACCAAAAGUGGUUCCAAAUGUUGGGCUCAGACUGAAUUCAACCAGAGGACAAACAGAAAGAUAGGAAAGGGAAAAAGAGAAAAGACACACACAGAGAAAUUGACAUAAUAAAAGUGAGAUGAUCGUACCAAAACACACUUUCUGUUUGAGUUUCUUUUUUUUACCUCUGCUUUUUCUUGUUUAUUCUCUUUUAUGUGCAAUAAAUACAUGUAUUUGCAGCCCAUAUUGUUCUUCUCUUUUUAUUGCCAUGUGUGGUGCAGUGACUGUGUGACAGAUAUAUUGAAAUAGAAUGGAAUAGACUGAGAAAAAGCUAAGAAAAGGGCCUCCAGGAUGAAAAAGGGAAAAGGAAUAAAAAGGGGGAGAGGAAGUUUUAUAGAAAUGUUGGUGUGUCUCGUCUUGGCUGUUUCGAUCUAAUGAGACAAUAAGUGGUCACCUGAGAGACUGCUGUCCAGACCCAGGGUUGAGGUCAAAGUAUCACCAUUAUUGGUGUGAAACAGGGUCAGUUCUGGAUUCUCACAGAUUCUCUUGUGUUCAGUCACUAAGCUAAUAUUUCAAAGAUCAUUGUGAAUCUAAAUUCAAGGUGAAAACUCUGCUUUAUCAUUUCACUUCAGGUUAAGUCCUCUAAUUUUCUCUUUUUUUAGAUUCAGGUGCUUAAUAGCUGCUAUUGAGUUUUGUCAUGUAGCUAAUUGGGUCGAUCUUAACCUGGUCAUUAUACAUUAAGGAGAGCAAGCUGCAAUUGAAGCAGUUCAAGUUCGCAUGAAGAGCAGAUUUAAUGGAUAAACAAAAAGACCUAAACCCGGUUUCUUCGCACAACUCCUUCUGACUAAAACGAUUUGCCAAAUCUAAAUCUGAUUUUAAUCCGCCUGGAGCACCAACACUUUACUCCAUACCAACCAUUUGAGACAAAUGCAGAGAAACUCUAAUAAUUUAAAUCAUUCACUCCACUAUGGGUGUUCCAUCUCCCACACACUUGUAGAUUCUGAGUCACUCCAAAUAUGUAAAUUAAUGACCAGUCAUUUUUGAAAGUCGACCCACAUUUAGAAAAUGCCUGUCCAUAUUGUUCAUUUUGACAUGCUUCUUUAUUUUAUAGUUCAUGAUAAGGACAAUGAUAUCGCAAGACUAUUUCAACAUUUUAUUUGAAAUUGCUAAACAAUGUAAAUAAAAUUUGAAAAGAUAAUUCUGUCUUCAUUGGUAAUAAUUUGUGUUUAUUUCUUUCCUUUUAAAUUAUGAAAAUACGAGGGGGGAAAAUACUGGCUUUUUUCUAUGAGUCUGAUCCUACAGUUGUCCAGCUUAAUAUUUUUGUGGAAAACAUGAUACAUUUUUCAAGUUUCUUUUAACUACACUGACAAUUUUGAGAAAAUAACUACAAAGGAAGAAUUUACAUUUCCAAUAUGUCCUGAUGUUAUCAUUAAAGACAUGACUGGUAGGAUGAAAGCAGUAUUUCCCCUCUCUAUAUUCUCUGCUGUCUGUGGGGUUAAAAGUUCCUCAUAUUGACGGAUCUGAAUCAAGAGGCUACCCAUAACCCCCUGCUGCCACUAACAAUCCCCCACAUGCACACACAGUUGGAGUGUGAGGAUAAAACCACAACACAGUCUCACACACAUACUGUAUAUAUACACUGCAGAGAUCCAGACACUCUAAUCUGCAACCACAAUCCUUUUUGUAAUGCCAUAAUCCAAAAACUCAGGCUGUUUGUUUAUCUAGAAUUUUGCUAGAUCAACAACAAACCUAAACACUUAAACAAGUCACACUGUCCAAGGGCACACCACCUACCCGGUAAAGAAUAUUAACCAACAGCCUAACCAAUAUUAACCAACAUUACAAACAGACACAUAAAUGACAAAUUAGUAAUUAACCUGAAUACACUUUGAGUAUCUUUGAUGCAUUUUGUUGAUGGCUACACUACCGUUCAAAAGUUUGGGGUCAGUAAUUUUUUUUUUUUAUUAUUUUUAUUAAUAUUUUUAUUGAGCAGAGAUGCAUUAAAUGGAUCAAAAGUGACAGUGAAGACAUUUAUAAUGUUGCCAUUUCUAUUUCAUAUAUAUGCUGUUCUUUUGAACUUUCUAUUCAUAAAAGAAUUCUGAAAAAAUGUAUCACACUUGCACAAAAAGCACAAGUGUUUUCAACUGAUAAUGAUCAGAAAUGUUUCUUGCAGCAAAUCAGCAUAUUAGAAUGAUUUCUGAAGGAUCAUGUGACACUGAAGACUGGAGGAAUAAUGCUGAAAAUUCAGCUUUGGCAUUAGCAGGAAUAAAUUGUUUUAAAAUAUAUUAAAACAGAAAAAGGUUCAUUUAAAUUGUGCUUAAUAUUUAACAAUAUUACUGUUUUUAAUGUAUUUUUGAUCAAAUAAAUGCUGCCUUGGUGAGCAUAAGAGACUUCUUUCAAAAACAUAGGCUCUAAAAAAGAUGGUUCUUUUAAAGGUUCUUUACAUGUAGUAACAGUUCUAUUUAGAACCGUAUGGUCCUGAAGAACCCUUUAUAUGCUGUAAUGGUUCUUUAUGUUACACCGUGUCCUAACCAGACGCGAUGCGAUAAGAUUCUAGCAAUGAGCAGUUUGACUGUCCACACUAGACGCAAUGCGAAAAUGAGAAGCGAUAAAAUCAAUCAAAAACCACAGCCAAUCAGAAGAGAGUGUGGGCGGGCUCUCUCAGGCAAGAUCACAGCAGACACAAUGAAAUGGGCAAGUAUAGUAAAAUUCAUAAAUUUUACACCAUUUAAACAUUAUUUAAAGUACAUACGGACAUUACGGAGUGACUGAACCAAUCUUUGUUAUAGAAUACAAUUGUUUGUUCGCACUGAGUUGACAGUUUGAACGUUCUUGUGUCCAUUUUUUAUUUUCAAGAUCGGAGGUGAAUUAGCCAGUGUUGUUUUCAUUACAGCUAAAAAGCUGGGAACACAGAAUGAUAUUCAAACUCACAUUAGACGCUUUUAACAUCAAAUAAAGCACAUAAACAGUACCUGAUAUUAUCAUUGCCGUACUUUGUGUUGCUGUUCCAGCUGCGGAGAAAUAGAAACCGUUUCUAAAUUAGAAUAUUCGCGUGUCGCCGUUGCGGCUGGUUAGGACAAAAACUCUGAUUAACGUGUCACGUCUGGUUAGGUCACGGUGUUAGGGUUCUUUAUUCCCGCCUUUUUGUUUUUCAAAUCCAUAACUGUCAAAGCCACCUCAUUACUGAUUUUCUGGAGCUCAACCAUCAAACUACAAAGAACUGUCAACACACUCUCAGUUUAAAAGAAUAUAGGUGUGACCAGCUCUGUUCAGUUGAGGAUACUUCUCUCUUAUUGUCCACUAAAUGCUGUCACAUCCCACAACCUCAUCAUCUGCAGAGAGAAAAAGCCACUCAAUUACACCAAAAUGAUGGACUUAAAGACGUGAUUGAGGAUUGUGAAGAUAUUUCACUGGAACUUGGUCUUCAUUAGGCCUACAUCUAUUUUCUGUUUCUAAUAUGUGUUUUACUUCCUUGUGUAUUUAUUCAUGUUCAAUGUCAAUUGUCAUUUAUUAAUGUAUUCAGCUAAUAACUGUUAUUAGAGCACUGUCACACAUUUUUGCUACAAUUUCACGUCAAUAAAAAAUAAAAGUGCAUAAUUGACACA
Ctenopharyngodon idella (grass carp) is the source of this 4177-nucleotide long non-coding RNA. RefSeq lists it as uncharacterized. The transcript has 3 exons. Lineage: Eukaryota; Metazoa; Chordata; Actinopteri; Cypriniformes; Xenocyprididae. The record is from RefSeq and is a predicted model, not a curated record.